This 498-nucleotide ribosomal RNA is filed under the name uncultured bacterium. RNAcentral describes it as "partial 16S ribosomal RNA". It matches the Rfam family "Bacterial small subunit ribosomal RNA", at positions 30 to 523 of the family's 1533-position model. The record is from RNAcentral.
AUUGAACGCUGGCGGCAUGCCUUACACAUGCAAGUCGAACGGUAACAGGUCUUCGGAUGCUGACGAGUGGCGAACGGGUGAGCAAUACAUCGGAACGUGCCUAGUAGUGGGGGAUAACUACUCGAAAGAGUGGCUAAUACCGCAUGAGAUCUACGGAUGAAAGCAGGGGAUCGCAAGACCUUGUGCUACUAGAGCGGCCGAUGGCAGAUUAGGUAGUUGGUGGGAUAAAAGCUUACCAAGCCGACGAUCUGUAGCUGGUCUGAGAGGACGAUCAGCCACACUGGGACGGAGACACGGCCCAGACUCCUACGGGAGGCAGCAGUGGGGAAUUUUGGACAAUGGGCGAAAGCCUGAUCCAGCAAUGCCGCGUGCAGGAUGAAGGCCUUCGGGUUGUAAACUGCUUUUGUACGGAACGAAAAGCCCCGGGUUAAUACCCUGGGGUCAUGACGGUACCGUAAGAAUAAGCACCGGCUAACUACGUGCCAGCCGCCGCUGUAA